GUGUUGUGUGCUGAGGCAGCGAAGAGAGUAGAGGAUGAUGAGUCAAGGGUGGCGGCAUGUACAAACAAAAUGUGCGAACAGACGAUACCAAAGAAGAAGAUGAAGAUGAAGAAGACGGGUUUGACAGACGUGAUCCGCUAGAACGCGCCUUCGUCGCCGUUCGGGAUUAUGCAUAUCACAGUGCGAAAAGCAGCAGAUGGCCGUUUGGUUUUAUCCCAGUGCCAGAAGGACCACUUGUAUCAUUGCCCCUUCUGCCAGCCCUCAAUUUUCAAGCCCCGAGACUAUGCCAGUGUGUUGACACACAUUGAGUCGCACAGAUUGAAGGCUGUGCUGCAUAGAGAGUUCACAAUAUUCAUAUGCCAUCUGGAGUGCAGAGAAGCAAAGCAUUUCCACUGCCCAUAUUGCCCCAAGACUUAUGUAAAUAGGAGUGAUUUUACCAAACACAUUCCACAAUGUGAGUCAGUAUGUUAUCGAGCCCCAGGUUCAACAGCGAGAGCCCCAGAUGUAACCAGUGCAUCAGCGAGAGCCCCAGAUGUGACCAGUGCAUCAGCGAGAGCCCCAGAUGUGACCAGUGCAUCGGCGAGAGCCCCAGAUGUGACCAGUGCAUCGGCGAGAGCCCCAGAUGUGACCAGUGCAUCGGCGAGAGC
Long non-coding RNA from Oncorhynchus tshawytscha (Chinook salmon), 647 nucleotides. The record is from Ensembl. Lineage: Eukaryota; Metazoa; Chordata; Actinopteri; Salmoniformes; Salmonidae.